ACCAAUUUGGGGUUGUGAAGAUGAAAAACAAGGGCAACGGCAGAGACUCGGCAGAAUAUCAUUUGGUAGAACAAUGUAAUAACACCUGCACCAUCUCAUACUCUGCUUGUUACUUGUCACCAGUACAGUACCUCAUUCUGAAUCAAGUUACUUUGGAAGCUGAAGAAGCAGAGUUGCUAGAGAAUUCGUUAAUCAUGGAAAAAAAAUGAUGGAGAUGGAACUGAAGAAUCUUGGGUAACUUGAAUCAGAACUGAUGUUCAUUUGAUGGAGAUCGGUCCAAAGCUACAGAUUUAAUAUGUAGUUGAAAACCAGGAGUGAGACGGCAUGUUGUCCCAGUACCAUGUCUGGACACUAUGAGAAAACUUCCACUUUGUAUCAAAUUUGUCAUUAAAUCCCACACCUCUA
Molecule: non-coding RNA, 405 nt
Organism: Cherax quadricarinatus
Lineage: Eukaryota; Metazoa; Arthropoda; Malacostraca; Decapoda; Parastacidae
Source: RefSeq, a predicted model, not a curated record